Toxocara canis (dog roundworm) is the source of this 72-nucleotide transfer RNA. It matches the Rfam family "tRNA". From Rfam's summary of the family: Transfer RNA (tRNA) molecules are approximately 80 nucleotides in length. Their secondary structure includes four short double-helical elements and three loops (D, anti-codon, and T loops). NCBI's taxonomy places the organism in Eukaryota, Metazoa, Nematoda, Chromadorea, Rhabditida, Toxocaridae. The record is from Rfam.
CGGGCAGUAGAUCAGCGGCAGAGCUCCCGCUUCGUAUGCUGGAAGAUCUGGGUUCGAUUCCCGGCUGUUUAA